This is a long non-coding RNA of Megalobrama amblycephala (Wuchang bream), 7217 nucleotides long. RefSeq lists it as uncharacterized. The transcript has 4 exons. Lineage: Eukaryota; Metazoa; Chordata; Actinopteri; Cypriniformes; Xenocyprididae. The record is from RefSeq and is a predicted model, not a curated record.
AUUUUCUGAGAACUAUCAGAUUGGACUUUGUUCAUAGGAACACGAGAGAUCACGCAUCAUUAAUGUUGUAGAGAAGUGUGUGAUUCAUUCGUCCCGUGCAGAGAGGGCCCUGCUCAUCGAUGAAGUCUGCUGUCAGAAGGAUGGCCCUCACAGCGCCCUCUACACCAUGAUGAAGGACCAGUAUGCAAAUUAUGUGGUGCAAAGGAUGAUUGACAUGGCUGAGCCCGCCCAGCGCAAGAUCAUUAUGCACAAGAUUCGGCCCCAUAUUGCCACUCUCCGUAAAUAUACAUAUGGAAAACACAUCCUGGCUAAGUUGGAGAAGUACUACAUGAAGAGUGGAUCAGACCUAGGCCCCAUUGGGGGCCCCACCAAUGGCCUAAUUUAGGGGCCUGACACCCAACCCCUCGCACCUUUCCCUCAAAACCACAUUUGUUAUGGGCAUCUCCUCCACCGUGGAGUUCUCUGUCAUAGCCUUUAGGGAUUUUACCAAAAAAAUGAAAGGAAAAGAAGUGGGCUUCACCUAAGAACGCUGAGACGUCUGACCAGUGCCCUGAUGCAGUCUCUGUUGACCCCCACCCCCCACCCCCACACACACACCAGAGAAUGCAUGGUCUGUAAGCUGUUUCCUGGGUAAAGCACAACACUCUUGUUUAUGAUGGAAUUGAUGUAACUGACUGUUUCCUUUUGUUUUCUAGUAAAUAACUUGUACAUUUUUUUUUAACUUGUACAUUCUCUGUAGAAAAAGAAAUGUUUGCUGAAAAUUUACAGUUCUUACAAUUUACACCAGCAAGUGACUUUAUAAGGCCAAACUGAGUGAUCCUUUUUAAUUAUUUUCCUAUUUUUGUUUUUUAUAUCCAGACUUCACAAUGGCACAGUUAAGAAGUGUGGUACGUUUAAGCCCUGUUUUAGCGCUAUGGUGCACAAGCCAAAGCUGCUGAUGAAAAAUAAUGAGCCAGUCAGAUUGAUCUUCAAGAAAUUUGCUAGUAGACAAGUCUGCCUUCCCAUUAAGUUAGUUGGAUUAAGAUAUCCAAUACCAAUUAUAGAGCCUUGCUGCCUAGAGUUUGCUGCCUUCAAAUGGGAGUGGUAUCAUUCGGAAGUGGUUUGACGUGGAUGCACUUGUCAUCUCUUUUCUUUCCCUCCCUCAUGUGCAUUCUACUAACUGCUCCAUCUUUUGUGUUUUUUUUUUUGUUUUUUUUAAGAGCAUGCAUGUGGUUGCAAUAUACUCUUCAUCCCACUGACCAAGUCUGUUCCACACAGCUAUUGUCUCGGUUCACUAUUGUGUUUAGAAUCAUGUCUAAGGACACCAGAUCUCUUGCCAUUUUACACAUCUCUGAGACCGGUACCUUGGUAGACAGAUGAAACCUGGAAUAAUUUUUCUAUUUUGGGGUGUGUUGGAGAUAUGUGAGGCAUGAAGGGGUGGGGAGAUUUGGCAUGCUUUGUCUGGAUUUAAUGUUUUAAAAGAAUGAUUUUUGUAAUGUUUGUGGAACAUCUGUCUAUCGAGUUGUUUUUUUGAACACUGCCCUAGAAACAGUAUAGUUAUGUACUGAUUAUCAUCUCUUUACAUUGUAAUAGCUUAGGCAAAAUGUAUAGCAUCUUUAUGUACAAGUAAAUAUUAAAUCGUUGCUGUUUUUCGGGUGUGGGGGGAGACGGUGCUUAAGAUUUAGAUGGGCAAAGUCGAGAGGUGAGUGGGCGACGGUCCCUGUUCUUGGUGUCAUCCCAGGAUGUUUGGCUUCAGAACUAGAAUAACAGAAUUGAUUUCAUUCAACGUGAGAUGUUGUGGGGUCGGGUCAAAUGUGUGGUGUUCAUUGGUGUAAAUUGAGAAUGUGCAGGAAGUAUACUUUUUCAGAGAAUGGACAUGGGGCUGCCGUCUUCUGCUGCACAUUUUUUCUGUAUGGCUUAUAUAUUAAUGGCUUUCGUUCUUUUGCUUCAUAUGAAUAAAUGUAGAAUACAUGUAGUAUAUGUGGAGUUAAGUGUAAGUUUAUUAGUUGAAAAGAAGAAAAAUCUAGUUGUAAUGUUGGACAGGCUAAAUUGCGUAUUGAUUUGCUUUUAUCUUGUCUGUACAGUUGUACAUUUGUAAACGUUAAUGCUGUAAAUGGAAUGUCUUUUACACUUUUUGGGAAAGAAAAAAAUUAGCAAAAUGUGCAUUUUGAUGUGUGAAUAUUCAUCACUCCUUUCCCUUUGAAUAUAAUGUAUACAGUUUUCUUUGAACAAGGAUUAUUUUAAAAAAAAAAAAAAAAAAAAAAAAGAAAAAAAAAAAACUUUUUAUGCAUCAAUCUCAAGAUGGUUUUGUUUUUAAUCAGUUUUUGGAAAAGGUCAGCCUCUUUAUGUACCUGGAGCAGUGACACCUUCUGUUGACAUUGUCAUUUUGACUUGUGGCAGUUGAAUAAAAUAAUUAAAAAAUUAAUGAAUUAAAAAAAAAAAAAAAAAAAAAAAAAAAAACAUGGGGCUGUCUUUGGUUCAACCUGCUACCAUGGAAAUUUCACAAGACACAAGAAUUAUUUUUGUAUAAAGGAGUGCUGUAUUUUGGAACAGCCACUAACUUGUAAGCAAAAUAAUUGUAAGAUAUUGUCAAUUAUAUAAAUAUGAACAUAUGAGUUUUGUCACACUGUCAAAGUCAUGUACAUUUUCAGGUGGCCUUAUGUACAUUUCCAGAUGUUAGAUGAGGAAAACAUUUUUUUUUUUUUUUUUUUUUUGGGAAGCAGAAUUGUGGCUAUGUAUGAUUAAACUGUUCUUCUAACAUUUGAUUUUGUUGUCUGAAGCUUUUAUUAUUCACUCUGAAAACGUCUCAGGGAACCAUGGUUACAUAUGUAAGCUGAGACAUUCCCUUUCAAAAGGGAAGUCAACUCUGCGUUUACCGCUAUGGGGAACGAUAUACCCACAGCGCCAUGCUGGAGCAGAGUGCAUGACAAAUGUCUGGACAAACGUCCAGAGAAAAGCCGGGAGCAACUCCCCCCAAGUCUGUCAGUGACAGCAUUCCCUAUGGCCAACAGCCCAAGCUGAGCCUAAAAGAGGCCUUCCGCAGAAAGCCUUCCAAGGCUGCUCAAGGCAUCUGGGACUGUCGUGGCAGAUUUGAUGUUUCUUUGUCCCUUCAGAUCUGGUCUCGAAGAAAAACUCGAAGUUUCAGGUCUCAGAAGUAUUUAACUUUAUUGUCAAGCAACAAAGUGAGAUGCCAGCUCUGCAUCUGAGGCUCCCUUAGCUGUGGCACAGUUUUAUACAUUUUUCUUAUCUCUUAAAAAACACACCAAAGUAAUAUCAUUGGCUGGUAAUAUUCGCUCUUGUUUGACCUGUACAGUUAAAUAGGCCGAAAGGGCCUCACAACACUUCUAGCUUUUAUAGUAAGCAAACAAAUGCUACAGUUGUUUUCUAUAGGAUGGAUAAAAUACUCCAUCAGGACCAGCAAUCUGUGGGAAGUGGUCUCUUAAAGGGAAUGUGGCCAGGAAACCAAACGGAACCCCGGCCAGUCACUAGAGGGGAACAAAGUCACCCCCAACGCCACCAAGGAGGCCGUACUAAUCUAAUGAAAGCCAAACAUAGUCUGGGCCAGCCCUGUCUGAUACACAGAAUCUCCAAAGUGCAUUCUUCAAAGAAGAGAGCAGAUAAGAGCGACUGCGAAAGAGCAGUAAGCAACUCAAACCCACGCGCAGAGAUGGGCAUCCUGGAGAGCGGAACUCAGCUGAGCACUAUAAACCCUCGUAUUGAGGGGAGUAUAAUCCACUCGUCCUAGGAUCUACUCAGUGUCUGAUUAAAGCACUGAGGAGGCUGUGCGCUAGAAAAACCCUGGUACAGGGGAGCACAAACCAGCCUAGGGCUAGUCUGAACGGGAGACUUCAUAGAAGUCUAAAAUCAAUGACCAGCUUAGGGAGCUAAGCACAAUUACGCAGUCAACCCAAAGGGAAGUAUGAAGCUCAACCUAACAGACAGACCAUACUGUAGGCACAUAGUCAUGAUGCCGACCAGAAGGGGCCUACAACAUAACUAAAGUUCUUACAAAUUAACUGAUAUCACACCAAGAACCCAAUUCAUAUGGUGGUAUUCAGGGGAUGGCCCAUAAGGCCAUUCGACUGAAAACAUAGCAUGCUGAGCGCAUGUCCAACCAAGUAAUUAGGCAGCUGUGAGUGCCCACGAAACAGCCCGUCCAACACAAUACAACGAGCAGUGUACUCGGUAAAAGCACCUUUCUACUCUUUAAGCAAGAGGAGUACAGCGUACGCCAUCACGCGCUAAAGAAGGUCCCAUGGGCCUAUAACCUCAGCAGACACGUGGCAUCAGCUCGUGGCAGUGUUAUCAAGGAUCAGGCUAAACAGACCGACUACAAAGGAGGUCAUCAGUCAGCCCGAGCCCUGGCCAGCCAAUGACUCAAAUCCCUUUUUACUGUUUUCAGUAAAAUUGUCAGAGAAAACACUCAAAAAGGUACAUGCCAGCAUGCUCCCAAAGGAGGCCCUUAAGGUCUACCCGUCACACACGGCAUCAGCUAGCGGCCACUUAAGUUCUAGGAGCAAAAUAGAACCGAGUAACAAACAAGGUAGCUAGCUCAAGGAAGCAAAUGCAUAAAACCAGACAAACAGUUGGUUUUAACACAAGAACUCACCUUGAGAGGCAAGCCACUCAGAAAAUGUACUCAGUAAAAGCACCUUUUACUCUCUAAGCAAGAGGAGUACAAAGCCAAACUCCAGCGUGACACAUAGGAGGCCUGCGAAGGCCUACAACCCGUAAACACGCGGCGUCAGCUAGUGGCAAUCAUGACCCAUCCAUGGUGAUGAGUCACAUAGAAAUCCACACAAAGCUGUGCCAACAUGCAGACUGAAAGGAGGCCCUGGUGGGGCCUUCGACCUCCAUGAACACAUGGCAUCAGCCAGUGGUAGCUUCAUGACUAAAACCAGCCAGCAGGCAAAGUACUCGAGAAAACCCUUAGGUAAGAGAAGUACACACUGCUCUGCAGAACUCUACGAAAGGCCUGACCUAGGGCCUACUCAUACAGAGGUGGGCGUGGCCGAUGGCGGCGUGAGUCAUAAGACAAGACUCAACCAUGGAAUGAGUCUAGAUAUAACCAACCCAGCUGGACCAACACCAAGGCUACAAAGGAGGCCUGGCCUACUACUUUUAGCACCAUGUGGCACCAACCAGUGGUCAUAUAUAAGACCCAACCUCAAAAAAGGGACCAGCACUAAACCCUAAAGUUUACUGAGGGUAACUAGCUUACACAAUCUGAGCUUAGGUGUACACAUUCCAACAGGCAAUGUACCCAGUACACAUAAUAUGCUAUCAUGGUCUAGGGAAGGCCUGCAAGGCCUGCUACCUCAAACAACAUGAGCAUAAGCCUGAGGCAGUGCUAAACUAAGUGAGAAAACUCACGAUCGUAAACCAACAGCGCCCAGAAGCAAGCUGUAUUAAGAGAGAGGCUACCAAAAGAGAGCCAACAAUCUAACAGCAUAUGAAAAAGAGCUGCUGUGGUCAUGAUCGACUGGGAGCUACCAGAGAUCAUACUAUUCUAACCAGAAUAAUUCUCUCUACACUCAACCUGAGUGUGCAAUCCAACAGGUGAUACACUCAGUGAAACACAAACCCUAACCGGGGAGUACAACAAAACACCAUGUUCAUAGAUAGAGGCUAAUCACAGCCUGCUAUCACAGAAACAGGCGUUAACCUGUGGCAGCACUAGAGUAAGCUCACAUAUAUUGAAAGUAUGUAGGGCUAAAGCUUAGAACCCAAAGCAAGCGCAAAUGCUUUGUAAUACAUGCCAUCCAAACAGGAUAAAUGCUUUCACAAAACAGAUCUGAGAUCUGCAUUGAACCCUUGAGACUGAAAGCUAAAAACAUUUAGCACCGUAUGCUCAAACUUGAAUAUAAUUCAAGGGGCUCAUGUGAAGAUAUUAUAAGCAUGACAAAAGUUCUAAAAAGUGGGGCCUAGCAGCACCGCAUAACUUAUCUCCUCAAAGAUAAGGGCCUACCACCUGGAAAAACAGCACCAAGAAGGCUAAUAACAGCCUAUAGCCUUAGCUGUUAACCUCAGCCAUAGCACCUACAUUUUCACAUCGAAGGGGAAAUGGGCAUACGGCCAACAACUCCCUCAGGAGGAGGCCAGAACUAGGAACUACACAACCUCACAGGGAUAGUAAUAAUAAGGGUGAUGUAGCAAACAAACACCUAAACCUAGCUCUAGCCUAGCCGCUAGCUAAGGCCUACUGGGCCAAGCAAAGCUUGGGCUUCAUUUUGAAUCCUUCAAAUAUGAGGAGAAAAUGAAGCACUGCAAGCAAACAGUGUCAGGCAGCCGAUAAGCCGUCCUGCACACAAAUAACUGAAGCGACGAAUGCUAACUCAAACCAAACUAAAGUAUUAGCUGAGAAGCUAUUCUAACAUAGGAGGCUACAAAAUAGUGGCCAUAAAGCGGCCUGCAUGUUUUGAAAACUAGCCAACCUAAUGCUACAGUUAUUUUGCCCAAAAGAACCCCUUCUAACUUUACUGACUACAUGCUCAGGAAAGCUAUACAGGAAAAACAAGGUCUACACUUUUUAUAAACAUAAAAAUAUAGACCCAGUUUACCUUGCUGCGGCUCGUAGAACGAAGAUUUUCCCUCCUUAUUAUAAUGCAUGAAGAAGGAUGAAAUCAAAAGUUCUUUUAAGCCUAAAAGCACUUUCACUAUCAAGCCAGAAGGUGGCCUUUAGAAAAAAUAUUAUCAAAAGGCCAGCCGACAGCCUAACUGUAAAAGAAGCACCUGAGCAAGUAGAAAGAUCUCAAACUCAGGAGGCGGAGGAAGAAGGGGCGAGGGCAAAUGCAAUGUUGCCCCCGCAACGAGAGGGAAUCGAUCACAGACGCUAUUGGUGUACGUGAUCAAUCACCUCCUCAAACCUGCUUCUUCCUCCUCGAGCCCAGCCAUUUCUGCGUCUGCUCUGAAAAGAGGAGGUGCUUGAGCCAACCAUACUGGACCUCUGGCCCUGUCUCAGAGCCUCAGCUCAAGAUGGGCCAGCCUCCUGAUAAACUACAUACUCAGAAAAACUAUAAAGGAAAACAAGGUCUUAUUUUAAAACCAUAAAAUAGACCCAUCUCAUAUUCCUGCGGCUUCAUUUUUUUUUACAUGAAAAAGGAUAGAAUCUAGGGUUCUUUUAAGCCUAAAAGAUCCUCUCAUUAUCAAACCGAAAAAGUGGGCCGACAGAAAUAAUUACUAUGGGCCCAGUCUGAUCAUAAGAAGUAUCUGAGCAUGAUUUUAUAUAUAAUAUGAUA